GAUGAAGAACGUAGCGAAAUGCGAUAAGUAAUGUGAAUUGCAGAAUUCAGUGAAUCAUCGAAUCUUUGAACGCACAUUGCGCCCGCCAGUAUUCUGGCGGGCAUGCCUGUUCGAGCGUCAUUACAACCCUCAGGCCCCCGGGCCUGGCGUUGGGGAUCGGCGGAGCCCCCCGUGGGCACACGCCGUCCCCCAAAUGCAGUGGCGGUCCCGCCGCAGCUUCCAUCGCGUAGUAGCUAACACCUCGCGACUGGAGAGCGGUGCGGCCACGCCGUAAAACACCCAACUCUUCUGAAGUUGACCUCGAAUCAGGUAGGAAUACCCGCUGAACUUAAGCAUAUCAAUAAGCGGAGGA
This 352-nucleotide unclassified non-coding RNA is filed under the name soil metagenome. RNAcentral's name for it is "partial contains 5.8S ribosomal RNA, internal transcribed spacer 2, and large subunit ribosomal RNA". The stretch from base 1 to 120 matches the Rfam family "5.8S ribosomal RNA", at positions 35 to 154 of the family's 154-position model. The record is from RNAcentral.